CUAGAAACGGCCCUGCAGAUAUGCUUUUGAUAUACGGCAGAGUACAGCCGUGGCUCGGUACAGACCAAGAGGGAACCAUGUGUGUGUGUGUGUGUGUGUCCUCGUUCAGACAUCUGACAGAGGAGCUUCCAUCCGGCGCGAUCAUUCACCUUGAUCGGCUGUUACCGUGGCAACCCCAAAUGCCGUCGGCUGUAGGUUAGUCGUGACGGGGUCGGUUGCCUCUGGUUACAGUUGCGUCUGUUAACAACACCGCCGUGGUUACCCGUAGUUACGGAUGAUUUGUAAUUUGGCCGGUGCCGCAUACAUAUAUAUAUAUAUAUAUAUAUCGUCCUGGUUGUAGCAGGGUUGUCAUGGAGAUACCUAGUCAGUUGUUAUGGUUGUCAUGGAGAUAGAGUAUGGAACCUCGGCUGUGAGGUUAGACUUUCACAUGGAGGGACAGGAGGAUACCUGGUCAGUUGUCAUGGAGAUAAUAAUGGGAACGGAGGAUACCUCGUCAGUUGUCAUGGAGAUACGGUAUUAUGGAACCUCGGCUAUGAGGUUAGACUUUCACAUGGAGGGACAGGAGGAUACCUAGUCAGUUGUCAUGGAGAUAAUAAUGGUGAAAGGAGGAUACCAAGUCAGUUGUCAUGGAGAUAAUAAUGGGAAAGGAGGAUACCUAGUCAGUUGUCAUGGAGAUAAUAAUGGGAAAGGAGGAUACCAAGUCAGUUGUCAUGGAGAUAAUAAUGGGAAAGGAGGGAUACCAAUCAGUUGUCAUGGAGAUAAUAAUGGGAAAGGAGGGAUACCUAGUCAGUUGUACAACUGAAUGAUGCAUUCAACUGAAAUAAGUCUUCCGCAUUUAACCCCCAACCCUUCUGAAUCAGCUUUAGCGUUUCGAGGGGGGGCUUUGGUCUGUUUUCCCUGAAGCUGGAGAGCCAGAGUUGGGGUUUUUACAGAGCUAGCCAGACUGACUACUAACUAGGGUUGAAACAUUUUCCGGGAAACUUUUCCUUAAUUCCCUGGUUGGAGGAUUCCCGAAUGUCCAGCUAAUUCCCGCCGUAAUUCCAGGGUUAGAAGUAUCCAGGAUUUCUGGAAAACCAGGGAAUUUUUGGGGGAAGUUACCCGGAAUUUUGCAACCUUAAGAAAAACACAUGGAGAAGGUUUAUUAAUGGGCAGUUAUAGAGGACAGGAGGUUUAUUAACGGGCAGUUAUAGAGGACAGGAGGUUUAUUAACGGGCAGUUAUAGAGGACAGGAGGUUUAUUAAUGGGCAGUUAUAGAGGACAGGAGGUUUAUUAAUGGGCAGUUAUAGAGGACAGGAGGUUUAAUAAUGGGCAGUUAUAGAGGACAGGAGGUUUAUUAAUGGGCAGUUAUAGAGGACAGGAAGUUUAAUAAUGGGCAGUUAUAGAGGACAGGAGGUUUAUUAAUGGGCAGUUAUAGAGGACAGGAGGUUUAAUAAUGGGCAGUUAUAGAGGACAGGAGGUUUAUUAAUGGGCAGUUAUAGAGGACAGGAGGUUUAUUAAUGGGCAGUUAUAGAGGACAGGAGGUUUAUUAAUGGGCAGUAGUAUAGGACAGGGGGUUUAUUAACGGGCAGUUAUAGAGGACAGGAGGUUAUAGAGGACAGGAGGUUUAAUAAUGGGCAGUUAUAGAGGACAGGAGGUUUAUUAAUGGGCAGUUAUAGAGGACAGGAGGUUUAUUAAUGGGCAGUAGUAUAGAGGACAGGAGGUUUAUUAAUGGGCAGUUAUAGAGGACAGGAGGUUUAUUAAUGGGCAGUUAUAGAGGACAGGAGGUUUAAUAAUGGGCAGUUAUAGAGGACAGGAGGUUAGAGGACAGGAGGUUUAAUAAUGGGCAGUUAUAGCGGACAGGAGGUUUAUUAAUGGGCAGUGUAUAGAGGACAGGAGGUUUAUUAAUGGGCAGUAGUAUAGAGGACAGGAGGUUUAUUAAUGGGCAGUUAUAGAGGACAGGAGGUUUAUUAAUGGGCAGUUAUAGAGGACAGGAGGUUUAUUAAUGGGCAGUUAUAGAGGACAGGAGGUUUAUUCAUGGGC
This 2019-nucleotide long non-coding RNA is filed under the name Salmo salar (Atlantic salmon). Its description in RNAcentral is "lncRNA (ENSSSAG00000118005.1)". The record is from RNAcentral. Lineage: Eukaryota; Metazoa; Chordata; Actinopteri; Salmoniformes; Salmonidae.